CCUACGGGAGGCAGCAGUAGGGAAUCUUCCACAAUGGGCGAAAGCCUGAUGCAGCAACGCCGCGUGGGUGAAGAAGGUCUUCGGAUCGUAAAACCCUGUUGUUAGAGAAGAAAGUGCGUGAGAGUAACUGUUCACGUUUCGACGGUAUCUAACCAGAAAGCCACGGCUAACUACGUGCCAGCAGCCGCGGUAAUACGUAGGUGGCAAGCGUUAUCCGGAUUUAUUGGGCGUAAAGGGAACGCAGGCGGUCUUUUAAGUCUGAUGUGAAAGCCUUCGGCUUAACCGGAGUAGUGCAUUGGAAACUGGGAGACUUGAGUGCAGAAGAGGAGAGUGGAACUCCAUGUGUAGCGGUGAAAUGCGUAGAUAUAUGGAAGAACACCAGUGGCGAAAGCGGCUCUCUGGUCUGUAACUGACGCUGAGGUUCGAAAGCGUGGGUAGCAAACAGGAUUAGAUACCCCUGUAGUC
This 465-nucleotide ribosomal RNA is filed under the name uncultured bacterium. RNAcentral describes it as "partial 16S ribosomal RNA". It matches the Rfam family "Bacterial small subunit ribosomal RNA", at positions 338 to 795 of the family's 1533-position model. The record is from RNAcentral.